Molecule: small nuclear RNA, 76 nt
Filed under: Homo sapiens (human)
Lineage: Eukaryota; Metazoa; Chordata; Mammalia; Primates; Hominidae
Description: partial ncRNA
Source: RNAcentral
AAAUCACUUGAACCCAGGAGCCGGAGGUUGCAGUGAGCUGAGAUCACACCAUUGCACUCCAGCCUGGGCAACAAGA